AUUGAACGCUGGCGGCAGGCUUUACACAUGCAAGUCGAACGAGCGGCGUACGGGUGAGUAAUGUCUGGGAAACUUCCUGAUGGAGGGGGAUAACUACUGGACACGGUAGCUAAUACCGCAUACCAUCAGAUGUGCCCAGAUGGGAUUAGCUCGUAGGGGGGGUAAUGGCUCACCUCGGCGACGAUCCCUAGCUGGUCUGAGAGGAUGACAAGCCAAACUGGAACUGAGACACGGACAAGAAGCCUACGGGAGGCAGCAGGGGGGAAUAUUGCACAAUGGGCGCAAGCCUGAUGCAGCCAUGCCGCGUGUGUGAAGAAGGCCUUCGGGUUGUAAAGCACUUUUGGCAAGGAAGCGUUACUCGAAGAAGAAGCACCGGCUAACUACGUGCCAGCAGCCGCGGUAAUAC
RNAcentral lists this ribosomal RNA (406 nucleotides) under uncultured bacterium. Its description in RNAcentral is "partial 16S ribosomal RNA". It matches the Rfam family "Bacterial small subunit ribosomal RNA", at positions 30 to 526 of the family's 1533-position model. The record is from RNAcentral.